GACGAACGCUGGCGGCGUGCUUAACACAUGCAAGUCGAACGGAAAGGCCCUGCUUUUGUGGGGUGCUCGAGUGGCGAACGGGUGAGUAACACGUGAGUAACCUGCCCUUGACUUUGGGAUAACUUCAGGAAACUGGGGCUACUACCGGAUAGGAGCUCCUGCUGCAUGGUGGGGGUUGGAAAGUUUCGGCGGUUGGGGAUGGACGGGCGGCUUAUCAGCUUGUUGGUGGGGUAGUGGCUUACCCAGGCUUUGACGGAUAGCCGGCCUGAGAGGGUGACCGGCCACAAUGGGACUGAGAGACGGCGCAGACUCCUACGGGAGGCAGCAGUGGGGAAUAUUGCACAAUGGGCGGAAGCCUGAUGCAGCAACGCCGCGUGCGGGAUGACGGCCUUCGGGGUGUAAACAGCUGUCGCCUGUGACGAAGCGUGAGUGACGGUAAUGGGUAAAGAAGCACCGGCUAACUACGUG
Molecule: ribosomal RNA, 468 nt
Filed under: uncultured bacterium
Lineage: Bacteria
Description: partial 16S ribosomal RNA
Rfam family: Bacterial small subunit ribosomal RNA
Source: RNAcentral